RNAcentral lists this ribosomal RNA (497 nucleotides) under uncultured bacterium. Its description in RNAcentral is "partial 16S ribosomal RNA". It matches the Rfam family "Bacterial small subunit ribosomal RNA", at positions 28 to 507 of the family's 1533-position model. The record is from RNAcentral.
GACGAACGCUGGCGGCGUGCCUAAUACAUGCAAGUAGAACGCUGAAGAGAGGAGCUUGCUCUUCUUGGAUGAGUUGCGAACGGGUGAGUAACGCGUAGAUAACCUGCCUUGUAGCGGGGGAUAACUAUUGGAAACGAUAGCUAAUACCGCAUAACAAUGGAUGACACAUGUCAUUUAUUUGAAAGGGGCAAUUGCUCCACUACAAGAUGGACCUGCGUUGUAUUAGCUAGUAGGUGAGGUAACGGCUCACCUAGGCGACGAUACAUAGCCGACCUGAGAGGGUGAUCGGCCACACUGGGACUGAGACACGGCCCAGACUCCUACGGGAGGCAGCAGUAGGGAAUCUUCGGCAAUGGGGGCAACCCUGACCGAGCAACGCCGCGUGAGUGAAGAAGGUUUUCGGAUCGUAAAGCUCUGUUGUAAGUCAAGAACGAGUGUGAGAGUGGAAAGUUCACACUGUGACGGUAGCUUACCAGAAAGGGACGGCUAACUACGUG